This 288-nucleotide long non-coding RNA is filed under the name Hordeum vulgare. Its description in RNAcentral is "long non-coding RNA (HVUL_LNC005414)". The record is from RNAcentral. Lineage: Eukaryota; Viridiplantae; Streptophyta; Magnoliopsida; Poales; Poaceae.
UUCAAUUUAAUCACGUCAUUAUCCACAUCUCUUUUCUUUUGCAUAUCGCAAAUCUCAAUGAAGGUAUUGAGAUGGGAUGCGACAUCUUCACUAGGAAGGCCAGAGAAUUCCUCUUUCAUACCAAGAUUCAGCAAGGCAGCGUUGAUUUCAUAUGAUUCCGCACUAGUGGCGGGAGCAAUCGGAGUACUUAUAAAAUCAUUAUUAUUAGUACCCGAGAAGUCGCAAAGUUUGGUGUUUUCAGCCAUGAUGACUUCAACAAACCAACAAAACACAAGCAAGCAAGAAAAC